GUUGUAUGGUUAAGUGACUAAGCGUACAUGGUGGAUGCCUUGGCAGUCAGAGGCGAUGAAGGACGUACUAACCUGCGAUAAGCCGUGAGCAGUCGGUAAGAGACAUUACGACUCACGGAUUUCCGAAUGGGGAAACCCACUUAGCAUAAGCUAGGUAUCGCUGCGUGAAUACAUAGCGUAGCGAGGCGAACCGGGAGAACUGAAACAUCUAAGUACCCCGAGGAAAAGAAAUCAACCGAGAUUCCCUCAGUAGCGGCGAGCGAACGGGGAUUAGCCCUUAAGCAUCUUGGAAGUUAGUGGAACGGUCCUGGAAAGGCCGGCGAUACAGGGUGAUAGCCCCGUACACGAAAACAACCUUGAUGUGAAAUCGGGGACCAUCCUCCAAGGCUAAAUACUCCUGACUGACCGAUAGUGAACCAGUACCGUGAGGGAAAGGCGAAAAGAACCCCUGUGAGGGGAGUGAAAUAGAACCUGAAACCGUGUACGUACAAGCAGUGGGAGCCCUUCGGGGUGACUGCGUACCUUUUGUAUAAUGGGUCAGCGACUUACAUUUUGUAGCGAGGUUAACCGUAUAGGGGAGCCGUAGGGAAACCGAGUCUUAACUGGGCGUCUAGUUGCAAGGUGUAGACCCGAAACCGGGUGAUCUAGCCAUGGGCAGGUUGAAGGUUGAGUAACAUCAACUGGAGGACCGAACCCACUAACGUUGCAAAGUUAGGGGAUGACCUGUGGCUGGGGGUGAAAGGCCAAUCAAACUCGGAGAUAGCUGGUUCUCCCCGAAAGCUAUUUAGGUAGCGCCUCGGACGAAUACUACUGGGGGUAGAGCACUGUUUGGGCUAGGGGGUCAUCCCGACUUACCAACCCCAUGCAAACUCCGAAUACCAGUAAGUACUAUCCGGGAGACACACGGCGGGUGCUAACGUCCGUCGUGAAGAGGGAAACAACCCAGACCGCCGGCUAAGGUCCCAAAGUUCUGGUUAAGUGGGAAACGAUGUGGGAAGGCUCAGACAGCUAGGAUGUUGGCUUAGAAGCAGCCAUCAUUUAAAGAAAGCGUAAUAGCUCACUAGUCGAGUCGGCCUGCGCGGAAGAUGUAACGGGGCUCAA
This 1101-nucleotide ribosomal RNA is filed under the name Aeromonas media. RNAcentral's name for it is "bacterial LSU rRNA". It matches the Rfam family "Bacterial large subunit ribosomal RNA", at positions 1 to 1185 of the family's 2925-position model. The record is from RNAcentral. Lineage: Bacteria; Pseudomonadati; Pseudomonadota; Gammaproteobacteria; Aeromonadales; Aeromonadaceae.